CCCUUAGAUGUUCUGGGCCGCACGCGUGCUACACUGAGUGGAUCAGCGGGUCAGGUUGCGCGAAAGCGUUUCCUAAUCUUUAAAUCCGCUCGUGAUGGGGAUUGACGGUUGCAAUUUUCUGUCAUGAACGAGGAAUACCUUGUAAGCGCGGGUCAUCAUCCCGCGCUGAAUACGUCCCUGCCCUUUGUACACACCGCCCGUCGCUCCUACCGAUUGAGUGAUCCGGUGAGUAAUUCGGACUGGAGCAGUGUUCAGUUCCUGAACGUUGCAUCGGAAAGUUUAGCAAACCUUAUCACUUAGAGGAAGGAGAAGUCGUAACA
Molecule: ribosomal RNA, 320 nt
Filed under: uncultured eukaryote
Lineage: Eukaryota
Description: partial 18S ribosomal RNA
Rfam family: Eukaryotic small subunit ribosomal RNA
Source: RNAcentral